ACGAACGCUGGCGGCGUGCUUCACACAUGCAAGUCGAACGGAAAGGCCCUGCUUUUGUGGGGUGCUCGAGUGGCGAACGGGUGAGUAACACGUGAGUAACCUGCCCUUGACUUUGGGAUAACUUCAGGAAACUGGGGCUAAUACCGGAUAGGAGCUCCUGCUGCAUGGUGGGGGUUGGAAAGUUUCGGCGGUUGGGGAUGGACUCGCGGCUUAUCAGCUUGUUGGUGGGGUAGUGGCUUACCAAGGCUUUGACGGGUAGCCGGCCUGAGAGGGUGACCGGCCACAUUGGGACUGAGAUACGGCCCAGACUCCUACGGGAGGCAGCAGUGGGGAAUAUUGCACAAUGGGCGGAAGCCUGAUGCAGCAACGCCGCGUGCGGGAUGACGGCCUUCGGGUUGUAAACCGCUUUCGCCUGUGACUAAGCGUGAGUGACGGUAAUGGGUAAAGAAGCACCGGCUAACUACGUG
RNAcentral lists this ribosomal RNA (467 nucleotides) under uncultured bacterium. RNAcentral's name for it is "partial 16S ribosomal RNA". It matches the Rfam family "Bacterial small subunit ribosomal RNA", at positions 29 to 507 of the family's 1533-position model. The record is from RNAcentral.